AGCCUGAACGCUGGCGGCGUGGCUAAGACAUGCAAGUCGCACGGAGGUAGCAAUACCUUAGUGGCGAACGGGUGAGUAAUGUAUCGCUAACGUACCCUUUAGUCAGGGAUAGCCGGGGGAAACUCCGGGUAAUACCUGUUGACAUUCUUUUUUCGCAUGGAGAGAGACUCAAAGGAGCAAUCCGCUGAAGGAGCGGGCGAUAUCGUAUCAGCUAGUUGGUGAGGUAACGGCCCACCAAGGCGACGACGGGUA
This 252-nucleotide ribosomal RNA is filed under the name uncultured bacterium. Its description in RNAcentral is "partial small subunit ribosomal RNA". It matches the Rfam family "Bacterial small subunit ribosomal RNA", at positions 26 to 285 of the family's 1533-position model. The record is from RNAcentral.